UACGAAGGCCCCGAGCGUUAUCCGGAUUAAUUGGGCGUAAAGGGUGUGUAGGUGGUUUAGCGCAUCUUCUGUUAAAUCUGCGGGCUCAACCCGUAGGCUGCGGGAGAGAUGGCUAGACUAGAGUGCGGGAGAGGUAAGCGGAAUUGCUGGUGUAGGGGUUAAAUCCGUUAAUAUCAGCAGGAACACCAAAUGCGUAGGCAGCUUACUGGAACGCUACUGACACUGAAACACGAAAGCGUGGGGAGCGAAUGGG
Molecule: ribosomal RNA, 253 nt
Filed under: uncultured bacterium
Lineage: Bacteria
Description: partial 16S ribosomal RNA
Rfam family: Bacterial small subunit ribosomal RNA
Source: RNAcentral